UACGGGGGGAGCAAGCGUUGUUCGGAUUUACUGGGCGUAAAGGGCGCGUAGGCGGUCAGCACAAGUCAGUUGUGAAAUCUCCGGGCUUAACUCGGAAAGGUCAACUGAUACUGUGCGACUAGAGUGCAGAAGGGGCAACUGGAAUUCUCGGUGUAGCGGUGAAAUGCGUAGAUAUCGGGAGGAACACCAGUGGCGAAAGCGGCUACCUGGCCCAUUCUUGACGCUGAGGCGCGAAAGCUAGGGGAGCAAACGGG
RNAcentral lists this ribosomal RNA (254 nucleotides) under uncultured bacterium. Its description in RNAcentral is "partial 16S ribosomal RNA". It matches the Rfam family "Bacterial small subunit ribosomal RNA", at positions 524 to 776 of the family's 1533-position model. The record is from RNAcentral.